Oncorhynchus keta (chum salmon) is the source of this 457-nucleotide long non-coding RNA. RefSeq lists it as uncharacterized. The record is from RefSeq and is a predicted model, not a curated record. The transcript is spliced from 3 exons. NCBI's taxonomy places the organism in Eukaryota, Metazoa, Chordata, Actinopteri, Salmoniformes, Salmonidae.
CUGACUGCGGAACACUGAGGGGUUCCACAUAGCCGCCCUGGCAACCAUCACAGAGGACGCCCCGGUGGCCUUCCGGAACUCCUCGAUGUCAGCGUGGGCUUUGACCCGGUCCAGAGAACCUCCGCUACACAAAAUACAGACUCAAGAGGACACUCACCGAUGAAGUCAUAGAUACACUUUGGUUUGGCUUUCCAGUGCACCCCCAGGAAGUAGACUGGUACACCAGUGAGCAUGAUGACCAGCCCAACACCACAGACUACAGGCUCAGAGUACAGGCUGAAGCCCAGUAACAGGGCCCAGAACAUCAGAAGAUGUGAAGAGGUAGCCGUUGAUGCCUCCAAACGUAGACAAGGCUACAGAGAUGGGCAUAAUGACAGAGAACAUCCCCAGCAGCUUCUCUCCAAAUGUCUGCAGCAGAACAAGAAGGUUUACAUUUAAGACACAAUUCAAGCCAGGG